UACGUAGGGUGCGAGCGUUAAUCAGAAUUACUGGGCGUAAAGCGUGCGCAGGCGGUUCGUUAAGUCAGCUGUGAAAGCCCCGGGCUCAACCUGGGAACUGCAAUGGAAACUGGCGGGCUUGAGUAUGGCAGAGGGGGGUGGAAUUCCGCGUGUAGCAGUGAAAUGCGUAGAGAUGCGGAGGAACACCGAUGGCGAAGGCAGCCCCCUGGGCCAAUACUGACGCUCAGGCACGAAGGCGUGGGGAGCAAACAGG
Molecule: ribosomal RNA, 253 nt
Filed under: uncultured bacterium
Lineage: Bacteria
Description: partial 16S ribosomal RNA
Rfam family: Bacterial small subunit ribosomal RNA
Source: RNAcentral